CUAUAUCGUGUGCUUGCUGGUGUCCGGAGAGGCGCGACUGCCCGUCGGACUUAAUAGGGAAUCCGGUGCGAAUCCGGAACUGCCCCGCAGCGGUAAGUGGAAACGACCCCGUCUGAAUGCACUGGUCCUCAGCGACUGGGAAGCGAUGGGUAGGCGGGCCUCAGUGCCCUCGUCCACGAGUCCGAAGACCUGCCAGCGGUCGGUGCCUCAU
This 211-nucleotide non-coding RNA is filed under the name Luteibacter sp. UNCMF366Tsu5.1. The record is from RNAcentral. Lineage: Bacteria; Pseudomonadati; Pseudomonadota; Gammaproteobacteria; Lysobacterales; Rhodanobacteraceae. RNAcentral also lists the same sequence under 1 other name.